AACGGAGCUUAGAGAGCUUGCUUUUUAAGCUUAGUGGCGAACGGGUGAGUAACGCGCGAGUAACCUGCCCUAGAGUGGGGGACAACAGUUGGAAACGACUGCUAAUACCGCAUAAGCCCACGGCUCGGCAUCGAGCAGAGGGAAAAGGAGUGAUCCGCUUUGAGAUGGCCUCGCGUCCGAUUAGCUAGUUGGUGAGGUAACGGCCCACCAAGGCAACGAUCGGUAGCCGACCUGAGAGGGUGAUCGGCCACAUUGGGACUGAGACACGGCCCAAACUCC
Molecule: ribosomal RNA, 279 nt
Filed under: uncultured Faecalibacterium sp.
Lineage: Bacteria; Bacillati; Bacillota; Clostridia; Eubacteriales; Oscillospiraceae
Description: partial 16S ribosomal RNA
Rfam family: Bacterial small subunit ribosomal RNA
Source: RNAcentral